This 252-nucleotide ribosomal RNA is filed under the name uncultured bacterium. Its description in RNAcentral is "partial 16S ribosomal RNA". It matches the Rfam family "Bacterial small subunit ribosomal RNA", at positions 524 to 776 of the family's 1533-position model. The record is from RNAcentral.
UACGUAGGGUGCAAGCGUUGUCCGGAAUUAUUGGGCGUAAAGAGCUUGUAGGCGGUUUGUCGCGUCUGCUGUGAAAUUUCGGGGCUAACCCCGAACUUGCAGUGGGUACGGGCAGACUAGAGUGUGGUAGGGGAGACUGGAAUUCCUGGUGUAGCGGUGAAAUGCGCAGAUAUCAGGAGGAACACCGAUGGCGAAGGCAGGUCUCUGGGCCAUAACUGACGCUGAGAAGCGAAAGCAUGGGGAGCGAACAGG